GACGAACGCUGGCGGCGUGCUUAACACAUGCAAGUCGAACGGAAAGGCCCUGCUUUUGUGGGGUGCUCGAGUGGCGAACGGGUGAGUAACACGUGAGUAACCUGCCCUUGACUUUGGGAUAACUUCAGGAAACUGGGGCUAAUACCGGAUAGGAGCUCCUGCUGCAUGGUGGGGGUUGGAAAGUUUCGGCUGUUGGGGAUGGACUCGCGGCUUAUCAGCUUGUUGGUGGGGUAGUGGCUUACCAAGGCUUUGACGGGUACCCGGCCUGAGAGGGUGACCGGCCACAUUGGGACUGAGAUACGGCCCAGACUCCUACGGGAGGCAGCAGUGGGGAAUAUUGCACAAUGGGCGGAAGCCUGAUGCAGCAACGCCGCGUGCGGGAUGACGGCCUUCGGGUUGUAAACCGCUUUCGCCUGUGACGAAGCGUGAGUGACGGUAAUGGGUAAAGAAGCACCGGCUAACUACGUG
RNAcentral lists this ribosomal RNA (468 nucleotides) under uncultured bacterium. Its description in RNAcentral is "partial 16S ribosomal RNA". It matches the Rfam family "Bacterial small subunit ribosomal RNA", at positions 28 to 507 of the family's 1533-position model. The record is from RNAcentral.